GGGCCGUUAGCUCAACUGUUAGAGCAACUGACUCUUACAGUAGGUCCACGGUUCGAUCCCGUGACAGCCCACCA
RNAcentral lists this transfer RNA (74 nucleotides) under Nitrospinota bacterium. RNAcentral's name for it is "tRNA-OTHER". It matches the Rfam family "tRNA". From Rfam's summary of the family: Transfer RNA (tRNA) molecules are approximately 80 nucleotides in length. Their secondary structure includes four short double-helical elements and three loops (D, anti-codon, and T loops). Further hydrogen bonds mediate the characteristic L-shaped molecular structure. tRNAs have two regions of fundamental functional importance: the anti-codon, which is responsible for specific mRNA codon recognition, and the 3' end, to which the tRNAs corresponding amino acid is attached (by aminoacyl-tRNA synthetases). tRNAs cope with the degeneracy of the genetic code in two manners: having more than one tRNA (with a specific anti-codon) for a particular amino acid; and 'wobble' base-pairing, i.e. permitting non-standard base-pairing at the 3rd anti-codon position. The record is from RNAcentral. Lineage: Bacteria; Pseudomonadati; Nitrospinota.